RNAcentral lists this ribosomal RNA (459 nucleotides) under uncultured bacterium. RNAcentral describes it as "SSU rRNA". It matches the Rfam family "Bacterial small subunit ribosomal RNA", at positions 26 to 518 of the family's 1533-position model. The record is from RNAcentral.
AGAAUCAACGCUGGCGGCGUGCCUAACACAUGCAAGUCGAACGAGAAAGUGGAGCAAUCCAUGAGUAAAGUGGCGCACGGGUGAGUAACACGUGACUAACCUACCCUUGAGUGGGGAAUAACCUAGGGAAACCUGGGCUAAUACCGCAUAACACCUACGGGUCAAAGGAGCAAUUCGCUUAAGGAGGGGUCGCGGCAGAUUAGCUAGUUGGCGGGGUAAUGGCCCACCAAGGCAGUGAUCUGUAUCCGGCCUGAGAGGGCGCACGGACACACUGGAACUGAAACACGGUCCAGACUCCUACGGGAGGCAGCAGUGGGGAAUUUUGCGCAAUGGGGGAAACCCUGGCGCAGCAACGCCGCGUGGAGGAUGAAGUCCCUUGGGACGUAAACUCCUUUCGACCGGGACGAUAAUGACGGUACCGGUGGAAGAAGCCCCGGCUAACUUCGUGCCAGCAGCCGC